UACGUAGGGUGCGAGCGUUAAUCGGAAUUACUGGGCGUAAAGCGUGCGCAGGCGGUUUGUUAAGACAGGUGUGAAAUCCCCGGGCUUAACCUGGGAAUGGCAUUUGGGACUGCAAGGCUUGAGUGCGGCAGAGGAGACUGGAAUUCCUGGUGUAGCAGUGAAAUGCGUAGAUAUCAGGAGGAAUACCGAUGGCGAAGGCAGGUCUCUGGGCUGACACUGACGCUCAUGCACGAAAGCGUGGGGAGCAAACAGG
Molecule: ribosomal RNA, 253 nt
Filed under: uncultured bacterium
Lineage: Bacteria
Description: partial 16S ribosomal RNA
Rfam family: Bacterial small subunit ribosomal RNA
Source: RNAcentral